AAUUAAAAAUUCCAUCCGUUUCUAGUGCUAAAAACUGUCAUUGCUGAUAGAAUAAUCAAACAAUUACAUGCGGCAUGCCACGUGUGCCUCAUUCUGACAUAUAGUGACCAAGUUUUAAUAGUUGAGAUGGAUGAAUUUUUUAACA
Gossypium hirsutum (cotton) is the source of this 145-nucleotide non-coding RNA. The record is from Rfam. Lineage: Eukaryota; Viridiplantae; Streptophyta; Magnoliopsida; Malvales; Malvaceae.